GUAGGGAAUAUUGGGCAAUGGAGGCAACUCUGACCCAGCCAUGCCGCGUGCAGGAUGACGGCCCUCUGGGUUGUAAACUGCUUUUAUACGGGAAGAAAAAAUACUACGUGUAGUAUACUGACGGUACCGUAAGAAUAAGGAUCGGCUAACUCCGUGCCAGCAGCCGCGGUAAUACGGAGGAUCCAAGCGUUGUCCGGAUUUAGUGGGUUUAAAGGGUGCGUAGGCGGAUCUUUAAGUCAGUGGUGAAAGCCUGCAGCUUAACUGUAGAAUUGCCAUUGAAACUGAAGAUCUUGAAUGUGGUUAAAGUAGGCGGAAUGUAUCAUGUAGCGGUGAAAUGCUUAGAUAUGAUACAGAACACCGAUAGCGAAGGCAGCUUGCUGAACCAUUAUUGACGCUGAGGCACGAAAGCGUGGGGAGCGAACAGGAUUAGAAACCCCUGUAGUCC
RNAcentral lists this ribosomal RNA (445 nucleotides) under uncultured bacterium. RNAcentral's name for it is "bacterial SSU rRNA". It matches the Rfam family "Bacterial small subunit ribosomal RNA", at positions 354 to 796 of the family's 1533-position model. The record is from RNAcentral.